AACCUCGGAAUUGCAUUUGAAACUGGCAGACUAGAGUACUGUAGAGGGGGGGUAGAAUUUCAGGUGUAGCGGUGAAAUGCGUAGAGAUCUGAAGGAAUACCGGUGGCGAAGGCGGCCCCCUGGACAGAUACUGACACUCAGAUGCGAAAGCGUGGGGAGCAAACAGGAUUAGAUACCCUGGUAGUCCACGCCGUAAACGAUGUCUACUUGGAGGUUGUGGCCUUGAGCCGUGGCUUUCGGAGCUAACGCGUUAAGUAGACCGCCUGGGGAGUACGGUCGCAAGAUUAAAACUCAAAUGAAUUGACGGGGGCCCGCACAAGCGGUGGAGCAUGUGGUUUAAUUCGAUGCAACGCGAAGAACCUUACCUACUCUUGACAUCCAGAGAA
This 386-nucleotide ribosomal RNA is filed under the name Vibrio parahaemolyticus. RNAcentral's name for it is "bacterial SSU rRNA". It matches the Rfam family "Bacterial small subunit ribosomal RNA", at positions 611 to 995 of the family's 1533-position model. Lineage: Bacteria; Pseudomonadati; Pseudomonadota; Gammaproteobacteria; Vibrionales; Vibrionaceae. The record is from RNAcentral.